AUUGAACGCUGGCGGCAGGCCUAACACAUGCAAGUCGAACGAGUGGCGGACGGGUGAGUAAUGAUUGGGAAUCUGCCUUAUGGAGGGGGAUAACUACUGGAAACUGUAGCUAAUACCGCUUACCAUAGGAUGAGCCCAAAUGGGAUUAGGUAGUUGGUGGGGUAACGGCUCACCAAGCCGACGAUCCCUAGCUGGUCUGAGAGGAUGACCAGCCACACUGGAACUGAGACACGGUCCAGACUCCUGCGGGAGGCAGAAGUGGGGAAUAUUGCACCAUGGGGGCAAGCCUGAUGCAGCCAUGCCGCGUGUAUGAAGAAGGCCUUCGGGUUGUAAAGUACGUUCAGCGGGGAGGCGUUACCCGCAGAAGAAGCACCGGCUAACUCCGUGCCAGCAGCCGCGGUAAUAC
This 406-nucleotide ribosomal RNA is filed under the name uncultured bacterium. RNAcentral's name for it is "partial 16S ribosomal RNA". It matches the Rfam family "Bacterial small subunit ribosomal RNA", at positions 30 to 526 of the family's 1533-position model. The record is from RNAcentral.